GGAGGUCUCACCCACCACCCCAAACACAUCUGAUACCCAGAGACUGUCCCUCUCCUUCUCAUUAGCCUCCCAUGGCUCCCUAUUACCCUUGGGAUCAAGUCCAAGCUCCCCAGCCUGGCCUCUGAGCCCUUCUGGAGUUGGAAUUUGCAUCUUAUCUGCCGCCCCGCCCUAUCGCACCCGACACCAGAGUUGUACUUACGGUCCCCUGGAGCCCGCUGGAUUCUCUCGCCCUGUCCUCAGGAAAUGUGUGUGGAAUGAGACUGACGGAUGGCCGGGGUGCACUUGUAAUGGCGUCGUAAAUCCCGCGUGAUUAACGAUAAUUAUAGCAGCAUUUACUGAACUCUGUGUAUUACCAGCCCCUGUGCUAAUCCUCACAGCAGUCGGGAAAGGUGAGCCCUUCUGACCGGAACAGGUGGGCUUCUGCUCAGGCUCAGCCAACGGGAAGCAUCACUGGUGGAAGGUGAUUGGAAGGUCCCACAUAUGAGUGCCAUCACCUGUCUUGCUCUGCCUGACUUAUUUCACGGGGCAUAACGCCCUCCAGGUGCAUUCACGUUGUCUGAUUUGGAAUCUUAAUGCCACGUGCAGUGUCCCCUUCACAGCAGCACCUAUGUGAGCUUGGGGAGGAGGCGUGUGUGCCCCGGGGUGGGGGUGGGGGAGCAGGAAUCUUGGGAGCCAUCUGAGAAUUCUGCCCUACAACGAGGGAUCGAGGGAUCGGUGGAGACGGGAGGAGGUAGGGAGGGCCUCCUAGGGGAAGCAUAAAGGGAAAGACAAGGGAGUCAUCCCAGGCAAAGAGAAGUGUCCAUCCAAGGCCGUGAGAUGGGAAGGCUGGCAGGUGCCGCGAGCUUGCAGAGCUGUUCCGGGGAAAAGAGCAGCCAGUGCACUGGAGAAUGGGCGGGAUAGUAAAUAGUAGCUACAAUUGUUACUCUGAUACUAGAAGUCUGGAGGCGGCCAGUCUGGGAGGACUCGCUUUCUCUCUCUGGCACCCCCCCCUCCCGGUGACCUUGGGUGGGUCACUUCUCUCUCCCUGGCUCCACGUCUGGUGCCGGCAAUGCCUCUCUUCCCCCCGCCCCCCCCCCUCCUUGAGACAACAGAGCUGAGUCGGGAGGAGGGCACAAGUUGGGCACAGCCCCAGCGGUGGGAAAGGAGGGCGGCCGGGGCUCGGGAAGCUGGGUGAGUGGCAGCAAAUUUGUAUGUGGUGCAGGUCUGUGCCAGGCACAGUGCUGGGCGUGGUGAGAUAAGGGGCCCAGGAAGAGCCCGGACUUGGCCUCUAGGGCUGAAUUCCAAACCGCCCCCCAGGAGGCCGGGAGCAGGCAGUGGAAACCGCCCACCGUGGGCUUGGUGCCCGGAGGAAGGCAGAGCCUCCACGGUCCCGGAUGCCUGUGGGUCGGCGGCUUGGAGCCUGGGAGCCUCAGAGCCCCUCUGCAAGGGGAGGGCGUCCCUGCUCCCGACUCGUGUGCUGGGUCCCCUGGCUCCUAUGGACCACAUCUCAAAGUGCCCCUCCUCGGAAGCCCUCCAGGACCACCGAGCCAAAGUCACAGCUUGAGCCAGAAGCCCCUGCUUCUCCAGCAGCACCGCCUUAUUCUUUCUCUCUCUCUUUUAAAUGUUUAUUUAUUUUUGAGAGAGAGAGAGAGAAAGAGAGAGAAGGAGACCCAGAAUCGGAAGCAGGCUCCGGGCUC
Long non-coding RNA from Acinonyx jubatus (cheetah), 1676 nucleotides. RefSeq lists it as uncharacterized. The record is from RefSeq and is a predicted model, not a curated record. NCBI's taxonomy places the organism in Eukaryota, Metazoa, Chordata, Mammalia, Carnivora, Felidae. The transcript is spliced from 3 exons.